UAGGGAAUCUUCGGCAAUGGACGGAAGUCUGACCGAGCAACGCCGCGUGAGUGAAGAAGGUUUUCGGAUCGUAAAGCUCUGUUGUAAGAGAAGAACGAGUGUGAGAGUGGAAAGUUCACACUGUGACGGUAACUUACCAGAAAGGGACGGCUAACUACGUGCCAGCAGCCGCGGUAAUACGUAGGUCCCGAGCGUUAUCCGGAUUUAUUGGGCGUAAAGCGAGCGCAGGCGGUUAGAUAAGUCUGAAGUUAAAGGCUGUGGCUUAACCAUAGUACGCUUUGGAAACUGUUUAACUUGAGUGCAGAAGGGGAGAGUGGAAUUCCAUGUGUAGCGGUGAAAUGCGUAGAUAUAUGGAGGAACACCGGUGGCGAAAGCGGCUCUCUGGUCUGUAACUGACGCUGAGGCUCGAAAGCGUGGGGAGCAAACAGGAUUAGAUACCCUGGUAGUCCACGCCGUAAACGAUGAGUGCUAGGUGUUGGAUCCUUUCCGGGAUUCAGUGCCGCAGCUAACGCAUUAAGCACUCCGCCUGGGGAGUACGACCGCAAGGUUG
RNAcentral lists this ribosomal RNA (550 nucleotides) under uncultured bacterium. RNAcentral describes it as "bacterial SSU rRNA". It matches the Rfam family "Bacterial small subunit ribosomal RNA", at positions 355 to 896 of the family's 1533-position model. The record is from RNAcentral.